Molecule: long non-coding RNA, 1345 nt
Organism: Apis cerana (Asiatic honeybee)
Lineage: Eukaryota; Metazoa; Arthropoda; Insecta; Hymenoptera; Apidae
Source: RefSeq, a predicted model, not a curated record
CAUCUGCAAUUUUAACGUUUUGCCAUUAAGAAGAAAGAAAGAAAGAAAGAAAGAAAAAAAAAAGGAAAAAAGGGAAAGAGAAGAAAUAAAAAUGUCUGUGAAGAGAAUAAUUUUUUGUGCGAGCUAUUCGCAAAAUCUACAUGCCGGAAGUUCAAGAGUGUAGUUCAUAUCUAAUCCAGGAAAGGGUUGAACACGUGGUGAACGAAGGAGACGAGUUCUAAUGAGAUCGUUAUUACGAUACAGCAAGCUAAUUUAGAGCAGUGCACUACUAGCGCGCCGAACCGCGAUGCCGCAACGCGUGCUUGGAGCACACUUUGAGACCGCGCGCGCCUCCCAGCUGCCGUAUCGACCCCUCCCCAUUGGAUGACACAUCCUCCAAUAACGAACCUCGAAAAGGAUUACGUCACUUUGGUAUUAUUGACGCCAACCAUCCGGCAGCAUCGCAGUGCUGGAUUCUUCAGGGUGUAUCUUUUCUCUAAUAGGGGAUGCAAGAAUUCUCAAUGGGUAGUCAGCUACAUGAAAGUUUUUCUCCAUCUAAAACUCACAGAGAAUCUCUAUCUUCGUUAAAAAAAGGAUACUUGUAUUUACUACGAGCUUGAAUGGCAUGAGAAUGUCGUCACCGACUCGGAAUUUAAAUCCUGCGACAGUGUGACAACGUUAAGUAGGUGCUCUCAACCCUUUACUCUUUGCUGACUGGUUGACACGCCGGCCAACAGGGUCUCUCAUUUGUAAAUCUUCUGUCGUUGCAAAAUCAGUCGUUGAACUUACCUUUGCCUCUUGUGCGAAUGUCAAGUACCGAAGUCGCGACAUUCGUCUGAAGCUUCUUUCCGUCAAGAUAUUUCCUGGUUGACUGAAAAUAUACAUUUUACUCAUUUUCUUAAUUCAAAGUAUUAUCAUUUUCUUUUUUUUUUAUUAUAUUUUUAAAUUUGUAAAAUUGCAUUUUACGAAUUCUAUAGUUAUUUUUUAAUCAAUAUUCCAAUACAUACACAUAUAAAAUAUAAUUCAAAAAUAGAAUUGAAAAAAAAAGUAAAAUUCCGAUUUUAAGAUCUUUAUAUUGUUAUAAAAUUAAUAUUCCUUCUAUUCGAAAAAUGCAGGAAUUACGUCUGAAAAAACUGAUUAUAAUAAAACAAUUAUUUCAUAGAAAACUCCUAAGUUCAAUAUAAACAAAAAUAAGGAUCUUAAACAAUAUACUUCUUAGCCUUAACUAAGAAAAGAAAAUAUAAAAUUUAUUUCUUUAUAUCGUUUAAAUAUGUUAUAUUAAUACAUUAAAUAUAAGUUUAAUAUAUGAGUUGAAAAUGUAAAUAAAUUACAAUUAUGUCAAAAAAAUAAAAAAUACUUAUUUAUA